RNAcentral lists this ribosomal RNA (384 nucleotides) under uncultured bacterium. RNAcentral describes it as "bacterial SSU rRNA". It matches the Rfam family "Bacterial small subunit ribosomal RNA", at positions 30 to 416 of the family's 1533-position model. The record is from RNAcentral.
AUUGAACGCUGGCGGCAUGCCUUACACAUGCAAGUCGAACGGCAGCACGGGAGCAAUCCUGGUGGCGAGUGGCGAACGGGUGAGUAAUAUAUCGGAACGUGCCCAGUCGUGGGGAUAACGUAGCGAAAGCUACGCUAAUACCGCAUACGAUCUAUGGAUGAAAGCGGGGGAUCGCAAGACCUCGCGCGAUUGGAGCGGCCGAUAUCAGAUUAGGUAGUUGGUGAGGUAAAGGCUCGCCAAGCCGACGAUCUGUAGCUGGUCUGAGAGGACGACCAGCCACACUGGGACUGAGACACGGCCCAGACUCCUACGGGAGGCAGCAGUGGGGAAUUUUGGACAAUGGCGCAAGCCUGAUCCAGCAAUGCCGCGUGCAGGAUGAAGGCC